GAUGAAGAACGUAGCGAAAUGCGAUACGUAAUGUGAAUUGCAGAAUUCAGUGAAUCAUCGAAUCUUUGAACGCACAUUGCGCCUGCCAGCACUCUGGCAGGCAUGCCUGUUCGAGCGUCAUUUCAACCAUCAAGCCCUAGCCUUGCGUUGGAGCCCUGCGGCUGCCGCAGGCCCCUAAAAGCAGUGGCGGGCUCGCUAUCACACCGAGUGCAGUAGAUUACUCUUCGCUCAGGGCGUGUGGCGGGUUCAAGCCGUGAAACCCCCUACUUCUCAAGGUUGACCUCGGAUCAGGUAGGAAUACCCGCUGAACUUAAGCAUAUCAAUAAGCGGAGGA
Molecule: unclassified non-coding RNA, 334 nt
Filed under: soil metagenome
Description: partial contains 5.8S ribosomal RNA, internal transcribed spacer 2, and large subunit ribosomal RNA
Rfam family: 5.8S ribosomal RNA (bases 1-120)
Source: RNAcentral